UCUACGGGUGGCAGCAGCAACGAAUAUUCCGCAAUGGGCGAAAGCCUGACGGAGCGACGCCGCGUGAGGGAUGAAGUCCCUUCGGGAUGUAAACUUCAAUAGUACAUUAGGAACCAAUCCCGGCUAAUACCCGGGAAAGUUGACCAGCGUAUGAAAGAGGCGGCUAACUCCGUGCCAGCAGCCGCGGUAAUACGGAGGCUUCGAGCGUUGUUCGGAAUCACUGGGCUUAAAGCGCGUGUAGGCGGGACGGUAAGUACCUUGUGAAAUCCCCGGCUNCAAUCCGGGAACUGCUUGGUAUACUGUCGUUCUUGAGGCAGGUAGGGGUCACUGGAACCUUAGGUGGAGCGGUGAAAUGCGUAGAUAUCUAAGGGAACGCCUGUGGCGAAAGCGGGUGACUGGGCCUGAUCUGACGCUGAGACGCGAAAGCGUAGGGAGCAAACGGGAUUAGAUACCCCAGUANUC
This 462-nucleotide ribosomal RNA is filed under the name uncultured bacterium. RNAcentral's name for it is "bacterial SSU rRNA". It matches the Rfam family "Bacterial small subunit ribosomal RNA", at positions 338 to 795 of the family's 1533-position model. The record is from RNAcentral.